CGGCUAGGGUUUCUCUAUUUCUCUCUCUACCUUAUUCUCUUUCCUCUCUCUAACUCAAUCCAAUCCCCUCUUGUUUACAGAUCUCUGUGUAUAAUUUUACCAUGGAGGACUUGUUUACUUAGGGUUUCCUAGUCGCCUUUCCAAGUAGAAUCCUCGAGUGUUUUGGGGGUUUUGCUCUUCUCCGCUGAUUUUUUCAUCUCAAAUGGCGACUUUGAACCCUUUCGAUUUGUUGGUUGACGAUGACGCCGAGGACCUU
Molecule: unclassified non-coding RNA, 256 nt
Filed under: Hevea brasiliensis (rubber tree)
Lineage: Eukaryota; Viridiplantae; Streptophyta; Magnoliopsida; Malpighiales; Euphorbiaceae
Source: RNAcentral